GGGCCGUUAGCUCAGCUGGUAGAGCACCGGACUUUUAAUCCGUGUGUCACAGGUUCGAUCCCUGUACGGCCCACCA
This 76-nucleotide transfer RNA is filed under the name Gammaproteobacteria bacterium. Its description in RNAcentral is "tRNA-Lys". It matches the Rfam family "tRNA". Rfam says of the family: Transfer RNA (tRNA) molecules are approximately 80 nucleotides in length. Their secondary structure includes four short double-helical elements and three loops (D, anti-codon, and T loops). Further hydrogen bonds mediate the characteristic L-shaped molecular structure. tRNAs have two regions of fundamental functional importance: the anti-codon, which is responsible for specific mRNA codon recognition, and the 3' end, to which the tRNAs corresponding amino acid is attached (by aminoacyl-tRNA synthetases). tRNAs cope with the degeneracy of the genetic code in two manners: having more than one tRNA (with a specific anti-codon) for a particular amino acid; and 'wobble' base-pairing, i.e. permitting non-standard base-pairing at the 3rd anti-codon position. RNAcentral also lists the same sequence under 4 other names. The record is from RNAcentral. Lineage: Bacteria; Pseudomonadati; Pseudomonadota; Gammaproteobacteria.